This 350-nucleotide long non-coding RNA is filed under the name Brachypodium distachyon (stiff brome). Its description in RNAcentral is "long non-coding RNA (BDIS_LNC002256)". Lineage: Eukaryota; Viridiplantae; Streptophyta; Magnoliopsida; Poales; Poaceae. The record is from RNAcentral.
CUUGAGAUUCUAGAACAGAAGAAUGCCCGCUAUGUGCCUUUCGAUGGCUGGGAAAAAAUCAAUUCUGAAGAAAAGAUAGCAGGCCAGCUGAAAAACAAGCCUAGAGAGAAGAUCACAACCUGGGAUGAGCUCCUGAAAGCUGCAAACGGGGGAUAAUUGAAGGGCAGAAUCGAUUCUGAAGAGAAGAUGGCAGGCCUGGUGAAGAACAAGCCCAGAGAGAAGAUCAUAACCUGGGAUGAGCUCCUGAAAGCUGCAAACGGGGGAUAAUUGAAGGGCUGUCUUGUAGACAGUUUUGUUACAUUGCAUGUCUCGUAGAGUCAGCAUUGAAGAGCGUUUGCCAUGUAAAAUAA